AAGUCGUAACAAGGUUUCCGUAGGUGAACCUGCGGAAGGAUCAUUACUGAGUGAGGGCCCUCUGGGUCCAACCUCCCACCCGUGUUUAUUGUACCUUGUUGCUUCGGUGCGCCCGCCUCACGGCCGCCGGGGGGCUUCUGCCCCCGGGUCCGCGCGCACCGGAGACACCAUUGAACUCUGUCUGAAGAUUGCAGUCUGAGCAUAAACUAAAUAAGUUAAAACUUUCAACAACGGAUCUCUUGGUUCCGGCAUCGAUGAAGAACGCAGCGAAAUGCGAUAACUAAUGUGAAUUGCAGAAUUCAGUGAAUCAUCGAGUCUUUGAACGCACAUUGCGCCCCCUGGUAUUCCGGGGGGCAUGCCUGUCCGAGCGUCAUUGCUGCCCUCAAGCACGGCUUGUGUGUUGGGCUCCGUCCCCCCGGGGACGGGUCCGAAAGGCAGCGGCGGCACCGAGUCCGGUCCUCGAGCGUAUGGGGCUUUGUCACCCGCUCUGUAGGCCCGGCCGGCGCCAGCCGACAACCAAUCAUCCUUUUCAGGUUGACCUCGGAUCAGGUAGGGAUACCCGCUGAACUUAA
RNAcentral lists this ribosomal RNA (572 nucleotides) under uncultured fungus. RNAcentral describes it as "eukaryotic LSU rRNA". The stretch from base 220 to 373 matches the Rfam family "5.8S ribosomal RNA". Lineage: Eukaryota; Fungi. The record is from RNAcentral.